This 301-nucleotide ribosomal RNA is filed under the name uncultured bacterium. RNAcentral describes it as "partial 16S ribosomal RNA". It matches the Rfam family "Bacterial small subunit ribosomal RNA", at positions 509 to 807 of the family's 1533-position model. The record is from RNAcentral.
CAGUCGCCGCGGUAAUACGUAGGUGGCAAGCGUUGUCCGGAAUUAUUAGGCGUAAAGGGCUCGCAGGCGGUUUCUUAAGUCUGAUGUGAAAGCCCCCGGCUCAACCGGGGAGGGUCAUUGGAAACUGGGAAACUUGAGUGCAGAAGAGGAGAGUGGAAUUCCACGUGUAGCGGUGAAGUGCGUAGAGAUGUGGAGGAACACCAGUGGCGAAGGCGACUCUCUGGUCUGUAACUGACGCUGAUGCACGAAAGCUAGGGGAGCAAACAGGAUUAGAUACCCCCGUAGUCCCUGUCUCUUAUAC